UGGGGAAUCUUGGACAAUGGGGGGAACCCUGAUCCAGCCAUGCCGCGUGUGUGAAGAAGGCCUUAUGGUUGUAAAGCACUUUAAGCGAGGAGGAGGGUACUGGUAUUAAUACUACUAGGUACUGGACGUUACUCGCAGAAUAAGCACCGGCUAACCCUGUGCCAGCAGCCGCGGUAAUACAGAGGGUGCGAGCGUUAAUCGGAUUUACUGGGCGUAAAGCGUGCGUAGGCGCCUAAUUGAGUCGGAUGUGAAAUCCCCGAGCUUAACUUAGGAAUUGCAGUCGAUACUGGUUAGCUAGAGUGUGGGAGAGAAUGGUAGAAUGCCUGGUGUAGCGGUGACAUGCGUAGAGAUCUGGAGGAAUACCGAUGGCGAAAGCAGCCAUCUGGCCUAACACUGACGCUGAGGUACGAAAGCAUGGGGAGCAAACAGG
RNAcentral lists this ribosomal RNA (430 nucleotides) under Pseudomonadota bacterium. Its description in RNAcentral is "Proteobacteria bacterium partial 16S ribosomal RNA". It matches the Rfam family "Bacterial small subunit ribosomal RNA", at positions 355 to 776 of the family's 1533-position model. Lineage: Bacteria; Pseudomonadati; Pseudomonadota. The record is from RNAcentral.